UAGGGAAUCUUGCGCAAUGGGGGCAACCCUGACGCAGCAGUACCGCGUGAGUGAGGAAGGUCUUCGGAUUGUAAAGCUCUGUCGUAAGGGAAAAAUGGUUAGUGGUCUAAUAGGCCAUUAAUUUGAUGGUACCUUAGAAGGAAACACCGGCUAACUUCGUGCCAGCAGCCGCGGUAAUACGAAGGGUGUAAGCGUUGUUCGGAUUUAUUGGGCGUAAAGCGCGCGCAGGUGGAUUUUUAAGUCAGAUGUGAAAUCUCGGGGCUCAACUCCGAACGUGCGUCUGAAACUGGAGAUCUAGAAUAUUACAGGGGGUAGAGGAAUUUCACAUGUAGGGGUAAAAUCCGUAGAGAUGUGAAGGAACACCAGAGGCGAAGGCGUCUACCUGGGUAAACAUUGACACUGAGGCGCGAAAGCGUGGGGAGCAAACAGG
Molecule: ribosomal RNA, 430 nt
Filed under: uncultured bacterium
Lineage: Bacteria
Description: bacterial SSU rRNA
Rfam family: Bacterial small subunit ribosomal RNA
Source: RNAcentral